GUCGGGAAUUUUGGGCAAUGGGCGAAAGCCUGACCCAGCAACGCCGCGUGAGGGAUGAAGUAUUUCGGUAUGUAAACCUCGAAAGAAUGGGAAGAAUAAAUGACGGUACCAUUUAUAAGCUCCGGCUAACUACGUGCCAGCAGCCGCGGUAAUACGUAGGGAGCAAGCGUUGUUCGGAUUUACUGGGCGUAAAGGGCGCGUAGGCGGCGCGGUAAGUCACUUGUGAAAUCUCUGAGCUUAACUCAGAACGGCCAAGUGAUACUGCUGUGCUAGAGUGCGGAAGAGGCAACCGGAAUUCUUGGUGUAGCGGUGAAAUGCGUAGAUAUCAAGAGGAACACCUGAGGCGAAGGCGGGUUGCUGGGCCGACACUGACGCUGAUGCGCGAAAGCCAGGGGAGCAAACG
This 403-nucleotide ribosomal RNA is filed under the name uncultured bacterium. RNAcentral describes it as "bacterial SSU rRNA". It matches the Rfam family "Bacterial small subunit ribosomal RNA", at positions 354 to 774 of the family's 1533-position model. The record is from RNAcentral.